This 21-nucleotide microRNA is filed under the name Mus musculus (house mouse). Its description in RNAcentral is "mmu-miR-1948-5p". The record is from miRBase by way of RNAcentral. Lineage: Eukaryota; Metazoa; Chordata; Mammalia; Rodentia; Muridae.
AUAUGAGUAUUCUGCCUAAAU